UCGGGAAUAUUGGACAAUGGGCGAAAGCCUGAUCCAGCAACGCCGCGUGCGGGACGAAGGCCCUCGGGUCGUAAACCGCUGUCAGGAGGGAGGAACGGUGCGUGGUUAAGAGCUGCGUACUUUGACAGUACCUCCAGAGGAAGCCCCGGCUAACUCCGUGCCAGCAGCCGCGGUAAUACGGAGGGGGCGAGCGUUGUCCGGAAUUAUUGGGCGUAAAGAGCUCGUAGGCGGUCCGUUGCGUCUGCCGUGAAAACCCGGAGCUCAACUCCGGGCCUGCGGUGGAUACGGGCGGACUAGAGUCCGGGUAGGGGAGACUGGAAUUCCUGGUGUAGCGGUGGAAUGCGCAGAUAUCAGGAGGAACACCGGUGGCGAAGGCGGGUCUCGUGGGCCGGAAGCUGACGCUGAGGAGCGAAAGCGUGGGGAGCGAACAGGAUU
This 435-nucleotide ribosomal RNA is filed under the name uncultured bacterium. Its description in RNAcentral is "bacterial SSU rRNA". It matches the Rfam family "Bacterial small subunit ribosomal RNA", at positions 355 to 779 of the family's 1533-position model. The record is from RNAcentral.